ACGAGUAUAGUUAAGUGGCUAUAACCUCUACCUUCCAAGUAGAUAUCAUCAGUUCGAAUCUGAUUAUUCGUA
This is a non-coding RNA of Moniliophthora roreri, 72 nucleotides long. The record is from Rfam. Lineage: Eukaryota; Fungi; Basidiomycota; Agaricomycetes; Agaricales; Marasmiaceae.